This 421-nucleotide ribosomal RNA is filed under the name uncultured bacterium. RNAcentral's name for it is "partial 16S ribosomal RNA". It matches the Rfam family "Bacterial small subunit ribosomal RNA", at positions 361 to 774 of the family's 1533-position model. The record is from RNAcentral.
AUUUUGGACAAUGGGGGGAACCCUGAUCCAGCCAUCCCGCGUGUGUGAUGAAGGCCUUCGGGUUGUAAAGCACUUUUGACAGGGAAGAAACAGCACCGGCUAAUACCCGGUGCCAAUGACGGUACCUGUAGAAUAAGCACCGGCUAACUACGUGCCAGCAGCCGCGGUAAUACGUAGGGUGCAAGCGUUAAUCGGAAUUACUGGGCGUAAAGCGUGUGUAGGCGGUUCGGAAAGAAAGAUGUGAAAUCCCAGGGCUCAACCUUGGAACUGCAUUUUUAACUGCCGAGCUAGAGUAUGUCAGAGGGGGGUAGAAUUCCACGUGUAGCAGUGAAAUGCGUAGAUAUAGGAAGGAACACCAGUGGCGAAGGCGACCACCUGGGCUAAUACUGACACUGAGGUGCGAAAGCGUGGGGAGCAAACA